UUAAUCCGUAAUGGGGCUUCCAUUGUAUGCAGGAGUUACCUGGGUCGGUGGCUUUCUUUCGUCAUGGCUUGCUUGCUGCUCCCUGCAGCGCGUUGCUGCCGGUCCAACUUUAAACCAGCAUUCCCCCCAGUUUAAAAUAUCAAACCAGCGGAGCAGCUUGCUUGGCUAAUUUCCUGCUGAAAAAAUCAACAACAGCUUGAAAGAAAAGAAAAUGAAUGAAUAAAUAAG
This 228-nucleotide small RNA is filed under the name Histoplasma capsulatum var. duboisii H88. RNAcentral describes it as "Histoplasma capsulatum H88 hypothetical RNA". The record is from RNAcentral. Lineage: Eukaryota; Fungi; Ascomycota; Eurotiomycetes; Onygenales; Ajellomycetaceae.